CUGAUGUGAAAGCCUUCGGCUUAACCGGAGUAGUGCAUUGGAAACUGGGAGACUUGAGUGCAGAAGAGGAGAGUGGAACUCCAUGUGUAGCGGUGAAAUGCGUAGAUAUAUGGAAGAACACCAGUGGCGAAAGCGGCUCUCUGGUCUGUAACUGACGCUGAGGUUCGAAAGCGUGGGUAGCAAACAGGAUUAGAUACCCUGGUAG
RNAcentral lists this ribosomal RNA (205 nucleotides) under uncultured bacterium. RNAcentral describes it as "partial 16S ribosomal RNA". It matches the Rfam family "Bacterial small subunit ribosomal RNA", at positions 589 to 793 of the family's 1533-position model. The record is from RNAcentral.